This 401-nucleotide ribosomal RNA is filed under the name uncultured bacterium. Its description in RNAcentral is "bacterial SSU rRNA". It matches the Rfam family "Bacterial small subunit ribosomal RNA", at positions 355 to 773 of the family's 1533-position model. The record is from RNAcentral.
UGGGGAAUAUUGGACAAUGGGCGCAAGCCUGAUCCAGCCAUGCCGCGUGAGUGAUGAAGGCCUUAGGGUUGUAAAGCUCUUUCGGCGGGGAAGAUAAUGACGGUACCCGCAGAAGAAGCCCCGGCUAACUUAAUGCCAGCAGCCGCGGUAAUACGAAGGGGGCUAGCGUUGCUCGGAAUCACUGGGCGUAAAGCGCACGUAGGCGGCUUACUAAGUCAGGGGUGAAAUCCUGGAGCUCAACUCCAGGACUGCCUUUGAUACUGGUGAGCUUGAGUUCGGGAGAGGUGAGUGGAACUGAGAGUGUAGAGGUGAAAUUCGUAGAUAUUCGCAAGAACACCAGUGGCGAAGGCGGCUCACUGGCCCGAUACUGACGCUGAGGCACGAAAGCGUGGGGAGCAAAC